GCUCAUUUGACAGGGGAGUUCUAAGGAGGGUGUGCCCAGGCAACCAAAGAGUCUGGAAGAGUUAUCAGAGCCUGGGAGAGCUGUCACCAGGAACCAGAGCCAAUUGCAGCAGCAGCCAAAUCUAGUAAGACACUAGUACAAUAACUUGCUUGGCUUGUCCCAGCACUGGACUGACCCAUUAGUAGAGGCACCAGGCACCAUGGAGCCAGCCCAACUGAUCAAGGAGCAACCAUCUUUCCCAGACACCUGGCCCUGAAGCAAACUUGGACAGCACACUGGAUGGGGCUCAUGAGCAACAGCAUUAGAAGGCAUGACCCCUGAAGGGCUACCCUUACGGCUUUGAAGAGGGGGUCCUCUGCUAUCUUCUGGAGGCACGAACCAUUGGCGUGAGUGGGAGCUGAGCGAGUGAACCCUAAAAGGAUGCUUCGCCAAAAAUCUGGGGCUUGUGUUGUACAUUGAAGAGAUCCUCAACUGGAGUCAAAAGAUCUGGAUCUGAGCUUGGAAUCUGCCUCUAAUGACGUGGGUAUUGUUAUUAUGGGAUGUUAGGAAGGGAAAACACAUAAGGAUUAGCAUAUAAAUAGUUUGUAUUUAUUUGAGAUUGGGGAGCGGGUUUGGGGGAAGGAGAGUGAGGGAGAAGGUGAUCUCAUCUUUAAACCCUUCAUUUUAACUCCUAUUAAUAAUUCUGUCUAACGACACUAAGAUCCUAGAGGCAAAGCAAACAGGGAAGCUGGAUCUUACAAUAAGGUCUCUGGGAGCC
This 757-nucleotide long non-coding RNA is filed under the name Monodelphis domestica (gray short-tailed opossum). Its description in RNAcentral is "lncRNA (ENSMODG00000046175.1)". Lineage: Eukaryota; Metazoa; Chordata; Mammalia; Didelphimorphia; Didelphidae. The record is from RNAcentral.